AUUGAACGCUGGCGGCAUGCCUUACACAUGCAAGUCGAACGGUAACAGGUCUUCGGAUGCUGACGAGUGGCGAACGGGUGAGUAAUGCAUCGGAACGUGCCCAGUUGUGGGGGAUAACUGCUCGAAAGAGCAGCUAAUACCGCAUACGACCUGAGGGUGAAAGCGGGGGAUCGCAAGACCUCGCGCAAUUGGAGCGGCCGAUGUCAGAUUAGGUAGUUGGUGGGGUAAAGGCCUACCAAGCCGACGAUCUGUAGUUGGUCUGAGAGGACGACCAGCCACACUGGGACUGAGACACGGCCCAGACUCCUACGGGAGGCAGCAGUGGGGAAUUUUGGACAAUGGGCGCAAGCCUGAUCCAGCAAUGCCGCGUGCAGGAAGAAGGCCUUCGGGUUGUAAACUGCUUUUGUCAGGGAAGAAAUCCUCUGGGUUAAUACCCCGGGGGGAUGACGGUACCUGAAGAAUAAGCACCGGCUAACUACGUGCCAGCCGCCGCAGUAA
Molecule: ribosomal RNA, 498 nt
Filed under: uncultured bacterium
Lineage: Bacteria
Description: partial 16S ribosomal RNA
Rfam family: Bacterial small subunit ribosomal RNA
Source: RNAcentral